CUGGCGGAUGCUUUACCUGCAAGUCGGGCGGCAGCAUGGACUUCGGUCUGAUGGCGAGCGGCGAACGGGUGAGUAAUGCAUCGGAACGUACCUAGUCGUGGGGGAUAACUAGUCGAAAGAUUAGCUAAUACCGCAUACGUCCUACGGGAGAAAGCAGGGGAUCGCAAGACCUUGCGCGAUUGGAGCGGCCGAUGUCUGAUUAGCUAGUUGGUGGGGUAAAGGCUCACCAAGGCGACGAUCAGUAGCGGGUCUGAGAGGAUGAUCCGCCACACUGGAACUGAGACACGGUCCAGACUCCUACGGGAGGCAGCAGUGGGGAAUUUUGGACAAUGGGGGCAACCCUGAUCCAGCCAUUCCGCGUGAGUGAAGAAGGCCUUCGGGUUGUAAAGCUCUUUCGGCAGGAACGAAACGGUUCGCUCUAACAUAGCGGACUACUGACGGUACCUGAAGAAGAAGCACCGGCUAACUACGUGCCAGCAGCCGCGGUAAUACGUAGGGUGCGAGCGUUAAUCGGAAUUACUGGGCGUAAAGCGUGCGCAGGCGGCUUUUUAAGCCAGAUGUGAAAUCCCCGGGCUUAACCUGGGAACUGCAUUUGGAACUGGAAGGCUAGAGUGCGGCAGAGGGGGGUAGAAUUCCACGUGUAGCAGUGAAAUGCGUAGAGAUGUGGAGGAAUACCGAUGGCGAAGGCAGCCCCCUGGGUCGACACUGACGCUCAUGCACGAAAGCGUGGGGAGCAAACAGGAUUAGAUACCCUGGUAGUCCACGCCCUAAACGAUGUCAACUAGUUGUUGGAGGAGUGAAAUCCUUUAGUACGAGCUAC
RNAcentral lists this ribosomal RNA (820 nucleotides) under uncultured Rhodocyclaceae bacterium. RNAcentral describes it as "bacterial SSU rRNA". It matches the Rfam family "Bacterial small subunit ribosomal RNA", at positions 36 to 855 of the family's 1533-position model. The record is from RNAcentral. Lineage: Bacteria; Pseudomonadati; Pseudomonadota; Betaproteobacteria; Rhodocyclales; Rhodocyclaceae.